This is a long non-coding RNA of Mugil cephalus (flathead mullet), 1283 nucleotides long. RefSeq lists it as uncharacterized. The record is from RefSeq and is a predicted model, not a curated record. Lineage: Eukaryota; Metazoa; Chordata; Actinopteri; Mugiliformes; Mugilidae. The transcript has 4 exons.
CAGCCACACAUAAAAAGUAAAACAUACAGUUAAAGCUCAGGACUUUCUAGAUCACCUACAUGCAUAAUAUUUCUCUUUCAUUCAUUUGACUGGCUUCUUUGUCUACUUUCAGGAUAAACUGCUGAAGUUUGAAAUAAUUUUUAUGCUGUAACAUAGAGAAAAUUCCUAUGGGCGCAAAAACGUUUAAGCAGCACUGUAGAUGUUUGGGAGGAGCCACAAUCUAACAUCCUGAAAUUUAAGUUAGUGAGGUGAUGAAUAUACUAAACAAAACCGAAAGAUGCUAAAAUACACAAUAUACCACAAUAAUAAGUCACGGGAUGACCGCUGCUGGCCAGUUGUUAGUGAAACAACUACUUGUUAUUCACUUCCUGACCAUUAUGUGAAGCUUAUCCUCAGAAAGGAACGUGUGAUCUCAGUUUUAAGAUAACUAUCGGUGUUAGAUAGUAACUGUGACGUGACCUGGAAAGUUAGGCUUUUGUUUGUUGUUCAGUUUUAGGAUCUGUCCUUUGCUUAUUUAUAGUAUCAUUGUGAGGCUGGACUAGUUUGUUGUAUUCUGAACUUCAGUGCUAACCAGCGUUUACAGGAAGACGCUACUAUGACGUAACAAACAAAAAACAAGCAGUGACGUUUGUGUCUCUUUACAUGAAAUACACUACAAACAAAACGUUUUUAGGCGGCACUGAUGAUGGAUAGUUAAUUCGGUUCACUGGUGACAUUACAGCCACUGGAUUAACUUUUAAUUUACAAGGUUCGACGUCAAUUCGACGGCACAGCAAGUAUCAUCAGUGAGGGUGACUGAGCAUUAUUUUCUGGAGGACUGUGAGAGGCAAAAGGGAGGAAGUAUUCUCUAGCAAACUGGAAAACAUCAUCUGGUUUCCUCAACAACAAGAACUGUAGGAAGUCAGAGAUGAGAGCUCGGAUCUCAGGAUGCCGUCUCAGGGAAAGUCAUCAAUGGACCCAUGGCUUUGAGCGUGCAGCAGCAAACAGGGCUGCUGUACUCUAUGAGCAAACUCCAGCGUCACACUGAACUUCCCCAGGUCUCUGCCGCCCUCUGACACAGUCACCAGAGUGUCUGGAAACAAACACUUCACCAGCUCUGCGGGCUCUGGCAGAAGACGGGGACUCCGAUUUAAUUUCAACUGGGUCAACUCGGGAUGUGCCAAAAGCAGGUGGUGGGCGUACACGCCACCUGUUGAGACAUGACCGUCGACUCACCAAUGCUGGACAUGAAUGCGAUGGCUUCGUCGGAGGCUUUCAGCUCCUGUCCAUGGUUGCGCCCUUCA